This 1295-nucleotide ribosomal RNA is filed under the name uncultured bacterium. RNAcentral's name for it is "bacterial SSU rRNA". It matches the Rfam family "Bacterial small subunit ribosomal RNA", at positions 196 to 1502 of the family's 1533-position model. The record is from RNAcentral.
UAAAGAUAAAGUUCCGGCGGUUAUAGAUGGGCAUGCGUCCCAUUAGCUAGUUGGUAAGGUAACGGCUUACCAAGGCUACGAUGGGUAGGGGGUCUGAGAGGAUGAUCCCCCACACUGGUACUGAGACACGGACCAGACUCCUACGGGAGGCAGCAGUGAGGAAUAUUGGUCAAUGGGCGCAAGCCUGAACCAGCCAUCCCGCGUGCAGGAUGACAGCCUUAUGGGUUGUAAACUGCUUUUGUACAAGAAGAAACCCCUAUACGUGUAUAGGGUUGACUGUACUGUAAGAAUAAGCAUCGGCUAACUCCGUGCCAGCAGCCGCGGUAAUACGGAGGAUGCAAGCGUUAUCCGGAUUUAUUGGGUUUAAAGGGUGCGUAGGCGGAAAACUAAGUCAGCGGUGAAAUCUUGCGGCUUAACCGUAAAAUUGCCAUUGAUACUGGUUUUCUUGAAUGUAGUUGAGGUAGGCGGAAUGUGUAGUGUAGCGGUGAAAUGCUUAGAUAUUACACAGAACACCGAUUGCGAAGGCAGCUUACUAAACUAUCACUGACGCUGAUGCACGAAAGCGUGGGGAUCGAACAGGAUUAGAUACCCUGGUAGUCCACGCCGUAAACGAUGAUCACUCGCUGUUUGCGAUAUACAGUGCCUGUGCCGCAGCGAAAGCAUUAAGUGAUCCACCUGGGGAGUACGAUCGCAAGGUUGAAACUCAAAGGAAUUGACGGGGGCCCGCACAAGCGGAGGAACAUGUGGUUUAAUUCGAUGAUACGCGAGGAACCUUACCUGGGCUUAAAUGUAGGCUGCAUUCGGCUGAAAGGCUGAUUCCCUUCGGGGCUGCUUACAAGGUGCUGCAUGGUUGUCGUCAGCUCGUGCCGUGAGGUGUCGGGUUAAGUCCCAUAACGAGCGCAACCCUUAUCGUUAGUUGCCAGCGGAUCAUGCCGGGGACUCUAGCGAGACUGCCACCGUAAGGUGUGAGGAAGGUGGGGAUGACGUCAAAUCAGCACGGCCCUUAUGUCCAGGGCUACACACGUGUUACAAUGGUAGGUACAGAGGGCAGCUACCUGGUGACAGGGUGCAAAUCUCUAAAACCUAUCCCAGUUCGGAUUGGAGUCUGCAACCCGACUCCAUGAAGUUGGAUUCGCUAGUAAUCGCGCAUCAGCCAUGGCGCGGUGAAUACGUUCCCGGGCCUUGUACACACCGCCCGUCAAACCAUGGGAGCUGGGGGUGCCUGAAGUCUGCCACCGCAAGGAGCGGCCUAGGGUAAAACCAGUGACUGGGGUUAAGUCGUAACAAGGUAACCU